Molecule: ribosomal RNA, 439 nt
Filed under: uncultured bacterium
Lineage: Bacteria
Description: bacterial SSU rRNA
Rfam family: Bacterial small subunit ribosomal RNA
Source: RNAcentral
UACGGAAGGCAGCAGUGGGGAAUAUUGCACAAUGGGCGCAAGCCUGAUGCAGCCAUGCCGCGUGUAUGAAGAAGGCCCUCGGGUUGUAAAGUACUUUCAGUCGUGAGGAAGGUGUUAAGGUUAAUAACCUUAGCAAUUGACGUUAGCGACAGAAGAAGCACCGGCUAACUCCGUGCCAGCAGCCGCGGUAAUACGGAGGGUGCGAGCGUUAAUCGGAAUUACUGGGCGUAAAGGGCACGCAGGCGGUUAAUUAAGUUGGAUGUGAAAUCCCCGGGCUUAACCUGGGAAUGGCAUUCAAGACUGGUUAGCUAGAGUCUUGUAGAGGGGGUAGAAUUCCAUGUGUAGCGGUGAAAUGCGUAGAGAUGUGGAGGAAUACCGGUGGCGAAGGCGGCCCCUGGACAAAGACUGACGCUCAUGUGCGAAAGCGUGGGGAGCAAAC